RNAcentral lists this unclassified non-coding RNA (375 nucleotides) under soil metagenome. Its description in RNAcentral is "partial contains 5.8S ribosomal RNA, internal transcribed spacer 2, and large subunit ribosomal RNA". The stretch from base 1 to 120 matches the Rfam family "5.8S ribosomal RNA", at positions 35 to 154 of the family's 154-position model. The record is from RNAcentral.
GAUGAAGAACGUAGCGAAAUGCGAUAAGUAAUGUGAAUUGCAGAAUUCAGUGAACCAUCGAAUCUUUGAACGCACAUUGCGCCCGGCAGUAAUCUGCCGGGCAUGCCUGUCCGAGCGUCAUUUCUCCCCUCGAGCGCAGCUUUCCCCCCCGGGGGAGGGCCGCGCCCGGUGUUGGGGCGCUACGGAGGAGCCCAGCGCUCCCCCGUAGGCCCCGAAAUGUAGUGGCGGUCCCGCCGCGGCGCCCCCUGCGUAGUAGUUUUACAACUCGCAUCGGGUCCCGGCGGAGGCCAGCCGUCAAACCCCCCAACUUCAAUUGUUUGACCUCGGAUCAGGUAGGGUUACCCGCUGAACUUAAGCAUAUCAAUAAGCGGAGGA